Molecule: long non-coding RNA, 1020 nt
Organism: Carya illinoinensis
Lineage: Eukaryota; Viridiplantae; Streptophyta; Magnoliopsida; Fagales; Juglandaceae
Exons: 5
Source: RefSeq, a predicted model, not a curated record
CAGAGCAUCAAGGGCACGGCCGGAAACUCACCUUUGGCUUUGGAUGAGCUUCUCGAACCCAUGACAAAACAAGACAUCGCUGUAGCCUCUGGCCCUGUACCGUCUCUUCCCUCACAGGACAGGUUACUCCGACCCUUCACUGACAAAACCUUAAGAGUCAGAUCGACUACCCUAACAGCUACGAUUUUUGGUAUCUGAAACCUGAAAAAUCAAGAAGAAGAUCGUCUUUAAUGACGAUAAGAGAUGUAGCCGAAGCAGCAAUCGAAGGCCGAUUUGACGAAGAAGCAGAAGAUCGUAGAGGAAAAGUCCUUCGGGCUCAAGAACAAAAGCAAGAGCAAGAAUGUCCAGAAGUACGUCCAGAGCCUCAAGCAGUCGGUACAGCCCAAGCCUGAUCCUACCAAGUCGGCUGCCAAGAAGGAGGAGGAAGGGAAGGCCCAAGAUAAGGAAUUGGAUGAUUUGUUCAAGAUAGCUGUCAGUCAGCCCAAAGUGCCUGUUGAGGAAGGGGGAAAAGAUUGAUCUUUACAGUGAUAAGAGUGACCAAGAAACAAUGGAGGACUGGGAUCAACAGACUUUGGAGAAGAUUGUUGAAUCAAAGAAAACUGAGUAUAAGCAGAACAAGCCAACUGAUAUUGCUCAAUCUCAUGCCAGAGAUGUUCUGGUUGCUUCCACUGAGCUUGCAUUAACAGGUCCGUUGUGAUUCAUCAAGCACGAAAGUGAACAAGCAAUUCUGGCAAUGGUUGUUACUUGGUAGAAAUAAAGGAUUAAUGCUCUUUGACAUGAGAAAGCAUCACUUUUUAAAGCAUGGAAGUGACAAAAACAACUUUGGCCAUUGAAUACUUUGAGAGUGAAUUUUUCUAGAAAUUAAAAGCUGAUAUUCUCUCUAUGUUUUAAUAUUUUCUUUGGUGGGCUGCAUGGGUUGAGUUAGUGUAACACAUUCAUUUUAAUUCUCUAGUUCUUGUCUAGUAGUUAGCCUAUACAAUGAGAAGCUGCAAAUAGUUUUAAUAGUUCCAAAAAGUAAUU